Rhododendron vialii is the source of this 3224-nucleotide RNA transcript. It is a transcript of the gene named replication protein A 70 kDa DNA-binding subunit B-like, with no coding region annotated. NCBI's taxonomy places the organism in Eukaryota, Viridiplantae, Streptophyta, Magnoliopsida, Ericales, Ericaceae. The record is from RefSeq and is a predicted model, not a curated record. The transcript is spliced from 12 exons.
GUUGGCAUAUAUUGAAGAGAAUUUGUGUUCUCUCAUGGUCAAUUGUGUGUUGCUUUGUCACUAGCAAAAGCUGUUGCUACUGUGAAAAUCUUGAUUGAAAUAGGAAAGGGAAAUCAUGGUAUUCCCGAUUAUCGGACAAGAAAUGUUGCGUAUCAAGAACUGUUAACACUUGCAAAGUGUCAUUAACUUGAUGGAUAUGCAGCUCACUCCAAUCAAGAAUAUCAAUAGUAGCACAAGAAAUUGGACAGCCAAAGUCAAGGUCCUUGAAAAAUGGAACCCAAGUCCACAUAGCCCAGUCAAGCUUCAAAAGUUGAUCUUAGCUGAUGCAGAGGGAAGCAGAGUCCAAGCAACAAUCAUUGAAGAUGAUAUUGAGAAAUUGGAAGACACUCUGCAAUUUUACAACACAUAUCUAAUUUCUAAUGCAGACGUCAAAUAUGUUUCGCCGAAGUAUCGUCUCGAUAACUUUGAGUGGCAAUGGACAAUCAAUGCCAGAACAUUGAUUCAAACUGUUGAUGAAUCUCUAUCUCAUGAAAAUCUUCUCAAUCUUGAUUUCGUACCAUUUGAACAGUUUGAACAGCAUGCUGGUGGACAAACAACUAUUGAUAUAUUAGCAGCUGUUGCACGAGUCAAACCUCCCAAGGUUCUUAGUAAACCUGGAAAUCCAAUAGCACAAGAGAUUAUUCUCAUUAAUCAAGAGUUGAAGCCAAUUAUCUUGACCUUUUGGGAUGAUUUCAUAACAAGAGAAGGACAGUUGUUACAAGAUACCAGCCCAUAUCCAGUAUUGAUUGGAAUUCGUCUCAGAGUUAAUACAUACAAUGGUCAUUCAUUGUCAACUCGACCAGGAAGUUCUUUUGUCAUAGAUCCAGACACAAUGGCUGCACAUACACUGAAAGCUUGGUGCACUGCAAACAAAGAAACUGUUGAGCAGCUUUGUGAUGAAUUCUUGGCUAAACCAAUCCUUCGAAUAGUACCAAAUCCAAAUGAUAAGGAUAUUAUAAGCAUCACAGAUGUUCCAAAGACACCAGAAAUGGUUGAGAAGCAAAUGUAUUGGAUCCAAGGCAAGAUAUCAGUUGUAUCAUUGAACCAAAACUUCUGGCACAUGGCCUGCCCCAACUGUCGAAAAUCCAUCAGUGCAAGAGAUGAAGUGAUAUUUGAUUGUUUCAAUUGCAACAGAAAAAAAGUUAUGGCAAAACCAAGUGUGAAAUUUGAAGUUCUAUUGACCGAUGCUUUUGGUUCAAUGACUGCAACAAUGUUUGAGGACUAUGCUGAAGAAUAUUUCUUAGUUGAUGGAAAAAAACUCAUGAAAUUUGCUGCAGAGCAGAAAGACCAAAAUGUCAUUACUGUCUUUCCAAAGUUGGCCUUGGAAAAUGAGUAUCGCAUCCAGCUGAAACCACGAGAAUAUCCUUCACGUGGUGUCAAAGUUCUUGCAUACAACAUCAACAGCAUUAAACCUGCUGCAACUGAAGAUAAAGCCAAUGAAGAUCCAUUAACAGAGACAGAAAAAUAUUCAUCAGUUGCUUCAGAAGUAACUUUUGAAUCACCAAAACUCCAGCUCAGUGAGCAUGCUAAAACCAGCACUAAUCAGCUUUUGAGAUUGCAUUUGGAUUUUUCUGAUUCAAGUCAACAAAAGACAAGACCAGAAUCAUGUCCUACAAGCGCUGAGAAAACUGGUUGGCUGAAUCUCCGCUUUGGGAUUUUCGCUGGGGCAGUUGCUUUGACAGGCAUUGGUGUAUUAGUCUACUUGAAGCGCUCCAACCUUUGAUCUUCUGCUGAUCUACUUAAAGGGUGAAAAGACAAUAUAGCCAUGAAGUUGAUUGUAUGAAUGCUGUAAUGCGUUUACCAGCGUCUUAAGAUGUUUCCUAAAGAUUAGUUUAAAUGAAGCUGAAGAUGGAAAGUAGCUAUUGUCCUCUCGUAGUGAUGCAGUAGGAUUUAGGGGUAUUGUUGUCAUUUUAGUGUCUUUAGUGUGUGUAGUGUCCCUCAUUAGAAUUUAGGGGUAUUGUUGUCAUCGUUUGUUGAUUGUUUCAACGGCCUCUAAGAAGUGGAAUUGAGAUUGUGUGGAUCCAUAGUUAAUGAGAUUUUAAUGAGGUUGGUAGAGAAUUGUACAUCUCUGAAUUCUCUGUUAAUCCACGAUGAAGGUAGCAGAGAGGGUUUGUUUCAUUUCAUUACUCAGAGCCGUUGUAAGUUGCAAAAACUUGAUUUACGUUUGCCUCUUGACCUCGAAGACAAUCACUUGUUGGCCGUGGCUGAGAAGUUCAGGGGUUUGUCGUCUCUUCGGUUAUGAAGUUGUUUUCUUGUUACUGCUGAAGGGCUUAGGACUAUGGCGUUAGCCAUGAGUAAUGAGCUUGAAGAAUUGGCUUUGGUAAAUUGCAACUUGGAACCUGGAGUUUUGACCACUCUAGGACAGAAGUUUCGAAAUCUGAGGAAUUUGGACUUGUCUUACAAUGAGAUGUUGGCAGACGAAGAGUCUAUAUUGAUGCUUGCGUCAUGUAAUUGUUUGAGGGACUUGAAGGUGACGGUGUGUGAAGGAUUGACAAAUGCAUCCUUGGUUGCAAUGUUUAAUAGCUGUAAGCAGUUGGAGUUUGUAGAUAUAAAGAAUUGUCCUGGGAUAGGGGUAGAGGCUGUUGAGUUAUUUGUUUUGAAUUGUCUGCAGUUGGUUGUCUUAUAUGUUGAAGAGAGCAAGGUUUCAGACGUUUCCAGGUCUUGGUCUUCGAAGAAAUUCAUUUCUAUUGUUGCUGUUUGAUGUUGAAAAAGGCCAUUUCUUUUUCUUUAGAGUUUGCGGAUCGAUGCAUGGUUAGAAUUAUGAGCGAUGGUGCUUGGCAGAAAGAGUCUCUCAAAGCAGCGGCAGCUUGGGUAGGCAUUUGAUGAAGGAAAUCAGUAAAUUGGCUGUAACGAGAUUGUUUUGUUCAUCCAGAGUCGGUCGAUGAUGGCGGAAGUUGGAGCUUGUUUGGAUGCACUCCAAUGGUGUAUUCGGAAUAACCAUUACUCAGGUGUCUAUGCUCUCCAGGGGUCAAGUGCAGUGGAGUCAUGGUUAGAGUUUUUGAUAUCUGAUACUACUAGUAUUAAGUGGGCAUGUAAUCUUUUAGCUAAUGUUUUUUCAUUUCGAAAGUUCAUGGGAAUGUUUGUAUCCUUGGCACACAAUCUAGCCAAAGCAGCCAUUGCUAUGGGGGUGCUAAUCUUGUAUUAUCUGUGUGGUUAUUAAUGAGUAUUAUUCCCUCGAGCAAAAA